This 27-nucleotide small RNA is filed under the name Bombyx mori (domestic silkworm). RNAcentral's name for it is "ovarian small RNA-5435". Lineage: Eukaryota; Metazoa; Arthropoda; Insecta; Lepidoptera; Bombycidae. The record is from RNAcentral.
GGAUACGUGCUAUGCUGUCCAGAUUGC